RNAcentral lists this small RNA (3092 nucleotides) under Pongo abelii (Sumatran orangutan). RNAcentral describes it as "retained intron". The record is from RNAcentral. Lineage: Eukaryota; Metazoa; Chordata; Mammalia; Primates; Hominidae.
AAAUGGGCUGGUCUAUUACUGUGACAUAAGGAAGGGAGGGGCUAGGUUUUUUAGAAAAUUUGAAAAUAGAAUUGACAGGGUAUGUUAAUAGAUGUGUAGAAGGAGGAAGUUGGAGACAAAAAUGAUUUUGAGAUUUCUAGAUUGAGAGAAAGGUGAUGCUGCUUAUCCAUGACAGAAGACUUAGGAAAGAGGAAGGAAGUUUGAAUUGUUUAAGGACUGGGGGAAGAUGGAGAUUUAUAAAUAAUUAAUAAUAUAGAGCUUGAGUUAUCUGCUUUAUAUUGCCCUAAAUAUUAUCUUAUUUAUAAAUAAAAUCUUGCUUAGUAUCCUAUAAGUAUUAGUAAUGGAUGUUUGCAUUUUUCUAUUAGAUUCAGAGGCCUCAGUCUGGAAAAAGUACUGAGAUGGAUUAGUGAUGUCUGCUAUGAUCAAAGGAGUGUGAGUUGGUAGAAUUUAACUUAAUACUUACUGAGUACCUAAUGAAUGCCAAGUACUGUUCUAGGUGCUGGGAUACAACAGAGAAUAAAACAAUUUUAAAAAAUUCCCUGCCUUCAUGAAACUAAUGUCCUAGUGUUUGUUUGGAGACCAUAAACAGAAUGUUUAUGUGGUAUGUUUGAAUAUAUUUGCCAUCCCUGCUGCAAGUGGCAGGUAAGUUAAAGUGUCAAACAACAUUAUUCAGGAAAUAAUAGAGAAAUGGGGAACAGUUUGAUACUCAGUAGAUUAUAUGUAAAAAUAUGACUUUGCCUCAGUGUAAUAGUAUGAAUCACAGAAAUGUCCAGACUUUAAAGAUUGGCUCUUUUUUUCUAGGUGUUAAACCGCCUGACUUUUGCGUCUACUCUUUCUCACCUGCGUCGUUUAAAUUCUCCUAUUGGUAGAGACGGCAAGCUAGCAAAACCAAGACAGUUGCAUAAUACGUUGUGGGGAAUGGUGUGUCCUGCCGAGACCCCAGAGGGCCAUGCUGUAGGACUUGUGAAGAAUUUAGCUUUGAUGGCAUAUAUUUCAGUUGGAUCUCAACCAUCUCCAAUUCUGGAAUUUUUAGAAGAAUGGAGUAUGGAAAAUUUAGAAGAAAUUUCUCCUGCAGCUAUUGCUGAUGCAACCAAGAUUUUUGUUAAUGGCUGCUGGGUUGGAAUACAUAAAGAUCCCGAACAACUUAUGAACACCCUAAGGAAAUUGCGACGUCAGAUGGACAUCAUUGUGUCUGAGGUUUCUAUGAUCAGAGAUAUUCGAGAGAGGGAGAUUCGGAUCUAUACAGAUGCAGGCCGUAUUUGUAGACCACUUCUGAUUGUGGAAAAACAAAAGCUACUUUUGAAGAAGAGGCAUAUUGACCAAUUGAAAGAGAGAGAAUAUAACAACUACAGUUGGCAGGAUCUUGUGGCCAGUGGGGUAGUGGAAUAUAUUGAUACCCUGGAAGAAGAAACAGUGAUGCUUGCAAUGACUCCAGAUGAUUUACAGGAGAAAGAAGUAGCUUAUUGUUCCACAUAUACACACUGUGAGAUUCAUCCCUCAAUGAUCCUUGGUGUCUGUGCAUCUAUUAUUCCCUUUCCUGAUCAUAACCAGUCCCCUAGAAACACAUACCAGUCUGCUAUGGGUAAGCAGGCUAUGGGAGUUUACAUCACCAACUUCCAUGUUCGCAUGGACACAUUGGCCCAUGUUCUCUAUUAUCCUCAAAAGCCACUUGUGACUACACGGUCUAUGGAAUAUCUACGAUUUAGAGAGCUGCCAGCAGGCAUCAACUCAAUUGUGGCUAUUGCAUCAUACACUGGAUAUAAUCAGGAAGACUCUGUUAUCAUGAAUCGUUCAGCUGUAGACCGCGGCUUCUUCAGGUCUGUUUUCUAUCGCUCAUACAAAGAACAGGAGUCUAAAAAAGGAUUUGAUCAAGAAGAAGUUUUUGAGAAGCCUACACGUGAAACAUGCCAGGGCAUGAGGCAUGCCAUUUAUGACAAGCUGGAUGAUGAUGGUUUGAUAGCUCCAGGGGUUCGUGUAUCAGGAGAUGAUGUUAUUAUAGGCAAAACAGUCACCUUGCCUGAAAAUGAAGAUGAAUUGGAGAGCACCAAUAGACGCUAUACCAAGAGAGACUGUAGCACUUUUCUCAGAACUAGCGAGACGGGCAUUGUGGAUCAGGUUAUGGUAACUCUCAACCAGGAAGGAUAUAAAUUUUGUAAAAUAAGGGUACGCUCUGUUAGGAUUCCACAGAUUGGAGACAAAUUUGCCAGUCGACAUGGUCAAAAGGGUACUUGUGGUAUUCAGUAUAGACAAGAGGAUAUGCCUUUCACCUGUGAAGGUAUCACCCCUGAUAUCAUCAUCAAUCCCCAUGCCAUCCCCUCUCGUAUGACUAUUGGUCACUUAAUUGAAUGCCUUCAAGGGAAGGUAUCGGCUAACAAGGGUGAAAUUGGCGAUGCCACUCCAUUUAAUGAUGCUGUUAACGUGCAGAAGAUUUCUAAUCUUUUAUCUGAUUAUGGCUAUCAUCUCAGAGGAAAUGAGGUCCUGUACAAUGGGUUCACUGGUCGAAAAAUCACAUCACAAAUAUUUAUUGGCCCCACUUAUUACCAGCGUUUGAAGCAUAUGGUAGAUGAUAAGAUUCACUCUCGUGCUAGGGGACCUAUUCAGAUCCUCAAUAGACAGCCCAUGGAGGGUAGAUCUCGUGAUGGUGGCCUGCGUUUUGGAGAAAUGGAACGAGAUUGUCAGAUUGCCCAUGGAGCAGCCCAGUUUUUAAGGGAAAGAUUGUUUGAGGCAUCAGAUCCAUAUCAGGUUCAUGUUUGCAAUCUUUGUGGAAUAAUGGCAAUUGCCAACACCAGGACCCAUACAUAUGAAUGCAGGGGCUGCCGCAAUAAAACCCAGAUUUCUUUGGUGCGAAUGCCUUAUGCAUGCAAACUAUUGUUUCAGGAACUUAUGUCUAUGAGUAUUGCACCGCGAAUGAUGAGUGUUUAGCUAUUUUACAAGACUCAACAAGAUAAUUAAAUAUCUUGGUGUCUUGUUUCUAUUAUGUGGCUUUUUAAAAAUGACAAAUAUGUACUGUGUUGUGAUAAAAAGUAUUUUAUUUGUUUAAUGAUAUGCAUGCUUUUCUUCUGUAAAUAUAUAAUAAAUUUUUGUAGAUAGUC